GCGCCCGUAGCUCAGCUGGAUAGAGUAUCUGACUACGAAUCAGGGGGUCGGGGGUUCGAAUCUCUCCGGGCGCGCCA
Molecule: transfer RNA, 77 nt
Filed under: Desulfobacula sp. RIFOXYB2_FULL_45_6
Lineage: Bacteria; Pseudomonadati; Thermodesulfobacteriota; Desulfobacteria; Desulfobacterales; Desulfobacteraceae
Also listed under: 4 other names
Description: tRNA-Arg
Rfam family: tRNA
About the family: Transfer RNA (tRNA) molecules are approximately 80 nucleotides in length. Their secondary structure includes four short double-helical elements and three loops (D, anti-codon, and T loops).
Source: RNAcentral